This 253-nucleotide ribosomal RNA is filed under the name uncultured bacterium. Its description in RNAcentral is "partial 16S ribosomal RNA". It matches the Rfam family "Bacterial small subunit ribosomal RNA", at positions 524 to 776 of the family's 1533-position model. The record is from RNAcentral.
UACGUAGGCAGCAAGCGUUGUUCGGAGUUACUGGGCGUAAAGGGUGUGUAGGCGGUUCUUUAAGUUUGGUGUGAAAUCUCCCGGCUCAACUGGGAGGGUGCGCCGAAUACUGAGGGACUAGAGUACGGGAGAGGAAAGUGGAAUUCCUGGCGUAGCGGUGAAAUGCGUAGAUAUCAGGAGGAACACCGGUGGUGUAGACGGCUUUCUGGACCGUAACUGACACUGAUGCACGAAAGCGUGGGGAGCAAACAGG